RNAcentral lists this ribosomal RNA (494 nucleotides) under uncultured bacterium. RNAcentral's name for it is "partial 16S ribosomal RNA". It matches the Rfam family "Bacterial small subunit ribosomal RNA", at positions 28 to 507 of the family's 1533-position model. The record is from RNAcentral.
GACGAACGCUGGCGGCGUGCUUAACACAUGCAAGUCGAGCGGAAAGGCCUGCUUUCCCUUGUGGAUUGCGGGUACUCGAGUGGCGAACGAGUGAGUAACACGUGAGUGAUCUGCCCCCAACUUGGGUAUAAGCCUGGGAAACUGGGUCUAAUUCCCGAUAGGACUGCAGGGUGGUGCCUGUGGUGGAAAACGAUUUUCUAGUGGUUGGGGAUGAGCUCGCGGCCUAUCAGCUUGUUGGUGGGGUAAUGGCCUACCAAGGCGGCGACGGGUAGCCGGCCUGAGAGGGUGGACGGCCACAUUGGGACUGGGAUACGGCCCAGACUCCUACGGGAGGCAGCAGUGGGGAAUAUUGCACAAUGGGCGGAAGCCUGAUGCAGCGACGCCGCGUGGGGGAUGACGGCCUUCGGGUUGUAAACUCCUUUCGACCGCGAGGAAGCCACCUGGUUGGAAGGGUGGUGACGGUAGUGGUAGAAGAAGCACCGGCUAACUACGUG